GUCCUUAGUACGAGAGGACCGGGAUGGACGUACCGCUGGUGUACCAGUUGUUCCGCCAGGAGCACCGCUGGGUAGCCAAGUACGGACGGGAUAAGCGCUGAAAGCAUCUAAGCGUGAAGCCCCCCUCUAGAUGAGAUUUCCCAAUUAGUAAGACCCCUUGAAGACGACGAGGUUGAUAGGUUCGGGGUGGAAGCACGGCAACGUGUGGAGCUGACGAAUACUAAUCGGUCGAGGGCUUAUCCUA
This 244-nucleotide ribosomal RNA is filed under the name Paenibacillus soyae. RNAcentral describes it as "partial 23S ribosomal RNA". It matches the Rfam family "Bacterial large subunit ribosomal RNA", at positions 2674 to 2925 of the family's 2925-position model. The record is from RNAcentral. Lineage: Bacteria; Bacillati; Bacillota; Bacilli; Caryophanales; Paenibacillaceae.